AGUGGGUCCUCUGCCUGUAACUCCAGCAGGAAACAAGUUCUUGAUGACAAUUACAGAUUACUACACAAAGUGGGCUGUAGCUGCUGCUCUAAAAGACAAAACUGCAUUGUCAGUAGCCAAUGUCUUAUACUCGGUAUUUUGCACAUACGGCUGCCCUACUGUUAUCCUCAGUGACCAAGGAAGAGAAUUUGUCAAUAAAAGUUACUGAGGCACUCUUUAAAAGAACAAACACACAGCAUAGAAUCACUUCCGCCUAUCAUCCUCAAACUAAUGGCCUCACGGAGCGAUUCAAUCAGACAAUCUGUCGUUCUCUCAGCAAGUUAGUGAAUGAAGCACACAAUGAUUGGGAUACAAAGCUAGACACUAUUCUGUUUGCAUACCGAGUGUCAAAACACCGAUCAACCAGCUAUUCACCAUUCUUCAUGAUGUUUCAUCGUGAAGCUCGGCUGCCUAUAGAAGCAGAUGUAGAGCAAAACGAAAUAGUGACCAGUGCAUGAAGAUAUAGAUACAGAGACAACUGCAGAUGCUUUUAUUGAGAAAAUGCUCAAGAGGCAAGAAGAUAUAAAGAGCAUAGCUGGUGAAAACAUAAAAAAAUCUCAAAAAAGCAAAAGGAGUGCUAUGAUAAACGGCAUUCACCAGAGAAACUGCAACCUGGAAUCAAGGUUUUGGUUGAGAACACCCAACAAAAGGAGAGGAAAGGUGGAAAGCUCGAAAACAAGUAUAGUGGACCAUACAUUAUUAAGACCUCAGAUGGAAAGGGUGUCUUUACCCUUAAGGACUUGGAUGGGAAGGUGUUAAAAAAGAAAUGUAAUAUCAAACGUCUCAAGGCUUAUAUGGAUCCUUCUUCAUUGGUUGAACAAAAAGCUCUCAGUGGCCAAACUCCACCGGAUAAAUCCAAUGGCUCUACCCCACCAGAGAAAUCCAAUGGCCCCACCCCACCAGAAGAUCCAAAUGGCCCCCUCCCCACCGGAGAAAUCCGAUGGUCCCACCCCACCAGAAGAUCCAAAUGGCCCCACCCCAGCGAAGAAAUCCAAUGGCUCUACCCAACCAGAGAAAUCCAAUGGCCCCACCCACCAGAAGAUUCAAAUGGCCCCACCCCACCGGAGAAAUCUAAUGGCCCCACCCCACCAGAAGAUCCAAAUGGCCCCCUCCCCACCGGAGAAAUCCGAUGGUCCCACCCCACCAGAAUACAUGGACAUGGACCUGUGGUGACUCAUUUGCAACCAAUUGAUGUCCCCUUAGACCGUCCACCACCACCUAAGAGACGAAAGUCUAAUCAGUCUGUACCUAAGAGUCAAAAGACCAGGUAUGCUGGGAGUCUCUGGAUACCUGACUUAGAUCUACGUUACAGGGAUAGGGCAGUUGUAAAGAGAGGAAAACUAUGUGACAAGCAUAUAAAUUAUGUAUGCUGCCCAUGAAGUGCUGAGGUAUCAGUUCCCUCAUCUGCAUGGUCUUCAAUCGACAUUACUUAUACUCAAAAAGAGUUUAAAGCAAUGCAAUGUCAUGACUCUGUUGUAAGAGGUAAGGGUUAGGCUUAUAUAAUGUUAUCUCGAUGGAUCACUAAUUAUGCCUCGAGGCGUAGCCGCAGGAGGGAUACGGUAAAGCUGACUGUGUGUGUGUGUGUGUGUGUGUGUGUGUAUAUUCCAGCAGUAACUGCUCAACGGUUGCAAUGCGACGAAAACUAACAGCUUCUAUAGGCUUCUAGCCACGUUCUCUUGGAUUUUGAUUCGUGGGUUAGCAAACUAAAGCUUCUUUCUCUAGUUAUGGCUAGUUUGACUCACAUUGAAGGCCUCUUCAGAAUCUUUCAUAGCAUCAUCUGUUCGCACAAACUUUCUAUUCAACAUAUGAGUUAGCCUUGCACUAAAGCGCUAGCUUUUUGUUAGCUACAAGACUCAGAAAAUAUCUGUUAA
RNA transcript from Halichondria panicea, 1910 nucleotides. RefSeq lists it as uncharacterized. NCBI's taxonomy places the organism in Eukaryota, Metazoa, Porifera, Demospongiae, Suberitida, Halichondriidae. The record is from RefSeq and is a predicted model, not a curated record. The transcript is spliced from 7 exons.